AUAGAAUUAGUUUAAAAUUAAAACAUUAAAAUGUCAAUUUAAAAUUAUUAAUAAUAUAAAUAAUAUUCUAUU
RNAcentral lists this transfer RNA (72 nucleotides) under Cephalonomia gallicola. Its description in RNAcentral is "tRNA-Asp". The record is from RNAcentral. Lineage: Eukaryota; Metazoa; Arthropoda; Insecta; Hymenoptera; Bethylidae.